AGGAUCUGUCUCUGUACAAUAAAUAUAAAUUAAUGUUUAAGUAAAAAAGCUUAAAUGAAAUGAAGGGACGAUAAGACCCUAUAAAGCUUUAUGAUUACAAUCUUUUAGUGUUGAUUAUUUUAAUAUUAAAGUAUUAGAAAAUUAUAUCAUUUUACUGGGGCGGUAAAAGUAUAAAGGAAUAACUGCUUUUGUUGAGAUUAAACAACGGUAGUUGGAAAAUAAAUUGAUCCAUUAAUAAUGAUCACAAGAACAAGUUACUUUAGGGAUAACAGCGUAAUUUUUCUUGAGAGUUCAUAUCGAAAGAAAAGUUUGCGACCUCGAUGUUGAAUUAAGGGUACCUUAAGGUGCAGCAGUUUUGAAGGUAGAUCUGUUCGAUCUUUAAUUCUUUACAUGAUUUG
This 398-nucleotide ribosomal RNA is filed under the name Lysiosquillina sulcata. Its description in RNAcentral is "partial 16S ribosomal RNA". It matches the Rfam family "Bacterial large subunit ribosomal RNA", at positions 2047 to 2607 of the family's 2925-position model. The record is from RNAcentral. Lineage: Eukaryota; Metazoa; Arthropoda; Malacostraca; Stomatopoda; Lysiosquillidae.